This 30-nucleotide non-coding RNA is filed under the name Rattus norvegicus (Norway rat). Lineage: Eukaryota; Metazoa; Chordata; Mammalia; Rodentia; Muridae. The record is from RNAcentral.
UGUACUGUAUAGUUGCUAAGGCCUCUUCCC